UUCGAUAGGGUGACGAAGCGACGCCGCGUGUGGGAAGAAGGCCUUCGGGUUGUAAACCACUGUCGGGAGUUAAGAAAUGCAAGGAUAUUAAUAGUGUCUUUGUUUGACUAAGGCUCCGGAGGAAGCCACGGCUAACUCUGUGCCAGCAGCCGCGGUAAUACAGAGGCGGCAAGCGUUGUUCGGAAUUAUUGGGCGUAAAGAGCACGUAGGCGGCUAUGUAAGUCGGUUGUGAAAGCCUUCCGCUCAACGGAAGAACAGCAUCCGAUACUACAUGGCUUGAGUGCGGGAGGGGAGAGUGGAACUUCUGGUGGAGCGGUGAAAUGCGUAGAUAUCAGAAGGAACGCCGGCGGCGAAAGCGGCUCUCUGGCCCAUAACUGACGCUGAGUGUGCGAAAGCUAGGGGAGCAAACGGGAUUAGAUACCCCGGUAGUCCUAGCCGUAAACGAUGGGCACUAAGUAGAGGGGUUUU
Molecule: ribosomal RNA, 468 nt
Filed under: uncultured anaerobic ammonium-oxidizing bacterium
Lineage: Bacteria
Description: bacterial SSU rRNA
Rfam family: Bacterial small subunit ribosomal RNA
Source: RNAcentral